CCCUUAGAUGUUCUGGGCGGCCCGCGCACUACAAUGGCGUGUGCAGCGAGUGCCGAAGUAGAGUUUUCCGAGGUAUUCUUGCAAUGCUCGUUUUGAUGGGGAUAGACCCUUGCAACUGUUGGUUUUGAACGAGGAAUUCCUUGUAAGCAUGGUUUAUCAUCCGACGCUGAAUGCGUCCCUGCCCUUUGUACACACCGCCCGUCGCUUCUACCGAUGAGUCGUCCGGUGAAGUUCGUAGACCUCGUGAUCGCGGAUCACUGGGGGAAGCAAAAUGAACCUCGCGGUUUAGAGGAAGGAGAAGUCGUAACA
This 309-nucleotide ribosomal RNA is filed under the name uncultured eukaryote. RNAcentral describes it as "partial 18S ribosomal RNA". It matches the Rfam family "Eukaryotic small subunit ribosomal RNA", at positions 1470 to 1796 of the family's 1831-position model. The record is from RNAcentral.